RNAcentral lists this ribosomal RNA (445 nucleotides) under uncultured Rothia sp. RNAcentral's name for it is "bacterial SSU rRNA". It matches the Rfam family "Bacterial small subunit ribosomal RNA", at positions 338 to 795 of the family's 1533-position model. Lineage: Bacteria; Bacillati; Actinomycetota; Actinomycetes; Micrococcales; Micrococcaceae. The record is from RNAcentral.
CCUACGGAGGGCAGCAGUGGGGAAUAUUGCACAAUGGGCGCAAGCCUGAUGCAGCGACGCCGCGUGAGGGAUGACGGCCUUCGGGUUGUAAACCUCUGUUAGCAUCGAAGAAGCGAAAGUGACGGUAGGUGCAGAGAAAGCGCCGGCUAACUACGUGCCAGCAGCCGCGGUAAUACGUAGGGCGCGAGCGUUGUCCGGAAUUAUUGGGCGUAAAGAGCUUGUAGGCGGUUGGUCGCGUCUGCUGUGAAAGGCUGGGGCUUAACCCUGGUUUUGCAGUGGGUACGGGCUAACUAGAGUGCAGUAGGGGAGACUGGAAUUCCUGGUGUAGCGGUGGAAUGCGCAGAUAUCAGGAGGAACACCGAUGGCGAAGGCAGGUCUCUGGGCUGUAACUGACGCUGAGAAGCGAAAGCAUGGGGAGCGAACAGGAUUAGAUACCCCAGUAGUC